This 220-nucleotide ribosomal RNA is filed under the name Bacillus sp. SC17T. RNAcentral's name for it is "partial 16S ribosomal RNA". It matches the Rfam family "Bacterial small subunit ribosomal RNA", at positions 37 to 242 of the family's 1533-position model. Lineage: Bacteria; Bacillati; Bacillota; Bacilli; Caryophanales; Bacillaceae. The record is from RNAcentral.
ACGCUUGGCGGCGUGCCUAAUACAUGCAAGUCGAGCGAACCAAUGGGAGCUUGCUCCCUGAGGUUAGCGGCGGACGGGUGAGUAACACGUGGGCAACCUGCCUGUAAGACUGGGAUAACUCCGGGAAACCGGGGCUAAUACCGGAUAAUUCAUUUCCUCUCAUGAGGAAAUGCUGAAAGACGGUUUCGGCUGUCACUUACAGAUGGGCCCGCGGCGCAUU